Long non-coding RNA from Girardinichthys multiradiatus, 1114 nucleotides. RefSeq lists it as uncharacterized. The transcript has 3 exons. NCBI's taxonomy places the organism in Eukaryota, Metazoa, Chordata, Actinopteri, Cyprinodontiformes, Goodeidae. The record is from RefSeq and is a predicted model, not a curated record.
UCACAUCACAGUUCGCAGCAUUGCAGCUUGUACAUUUCCCGGCUUGUCCACAAGACCCGUGACCAAUGAGUAAUCUUCAAACUCUGCCUUGAAAACAUCCCAGUUCACACUCCAGUUGCCGGAAAGGCUCAUAGGAGACGUUGGCGGCACGUUAGCAGCCAUGUUCGCUCCUGCUUCUGACUCCCAUUGUGAGGCAGCCUGCGCGUUUGCACUGCUGGGCACGUCUCCACUAUCAACUGCCAGUCUCUACUGCAACAAAGCCUCAUCACAAAUAAGAGCGUAAGAUCACAAUGAAAAGGAAAUUUAAAAAUGGAGACAUUUCCAGUUUCUUUGGCAAGAAAGUGACGGAUGAAAAGGAAGAAGAGACGGUGAGAUUUGAGAAAGGAAGAAUGAUAGAGAGACCAGGAGGGUCACAGGUGAAGGAGGCCACUUAAAGGGCAACAGGUGAAGAAAUGAGUGAAAUGAGGAAAAUGAUGUUGGCCUAAGCGGUGAAGACGAGAAGAUUUUAGAGUCAGAGAGAUUGAAAGAAGACAGUGCAGAGGAAACUGAUGAUGAUGAGAAGGAAGACACAGAGCCUAUCCAGCUGGACCACCUGAUCAGUGAACUUCAGUGAAGAUGUCCAGCAUUGCAACCCUGUCUAGACCCUUUUGCGCCUCCUUCACCCCCGCAUGUAAAAUGUUCUAGAUAUGCCACUGCCCCGGAGAGCACUGAGCGAAGAGGAAAAUAGAAAUCCACUUCCACGGUUUAUGCUAAUAUAUGGAUACCCGUAUCGGCCAAAACUCUAAUUUACCUGGCGCUUUAUGUGCACAUUUCAGGCGCACACUUCAAAUAAAGAACUUCAUUAUCUGAAUAAAAUAAAUGUGUAAAUGGGCAAGUUUUUUGAAUGGUCCUGAAAGGCACAGGGGCAGGAUUUCAAAAUAAAAUCCAUCUCCCCCUCUCUUUGUCAUGACAUGUUAAACACAUGUUCACCAGGAGGUGAAGUGAAGAAAUGAACUAAAACUGAAUAUCAGAGACAGAAAAGUGUCUCAAUGUUUUCAUUUACUGUGGUUCCUUAUUCAGUCGUUUAUAUAAACAUCUGAUUAACUAUUAAAGGGGAGGUAUAAUGCAAAAUCCA